CCCUGAGAUUAGCGGGGGACGGGUGAGUAACACGUGGGCAACCUGCCUAUAAGACUGGGAUAACUUCGGGAAACCGGAGCUAAUACCGGAUACGUUCUUUUCUCGCAUGAGAGAAGAUGGAAAGACGGCUUACGCUGUCACUUAUAGAUGGGCCCGCGGCGCAUUAGCUAGGUGGUGAGGUAAUGGCUCACCAAGGCGACGAUGCGUAGCCAACCUGAGAGGGUGAUCGGCCACACUGGGACUGAGACACGGCCCAGACUCCUACGGGAGGCAGCAGUAGGGAAUCUUCCGCAAUGGACGAAAGUCUGACGGAGCAACGCCGCGUGAACGAAGAAGGCCUUCGGGUCGUAAAGUUCUGUUGUUAGGGAAGAACAAGUACCAGAGUAACUGCUGGUACCUUGACGGUACCUAACCAGAAAGCCACGGCUAACUACGUGCCAGCAGCCGCGGUAAUACGUAGGUGGCAAGCGUUGUCCGGAAUUAUUGGGCGUAAAGCGCGCGCAGGUGGUUCCUUAAGUCUGAUGUGAAAGCCCACGGCUCAACCGUGGAGGGUCAUUGGAAACUGGGGAACUUGAGUGCAGAAGAGGAAAGUGGAAUUCCAAGUGUAGCGGGGAAAUGCGUAGAGAUUUGGAGGAACACCAGUGGCGAAGGCGACUUUCUGGUCUGUAACUGA
This 673-nucleotide ribosomal RNA is filed under the name Bacillus sp. 987(2010). RNAcentral's name for it is "bacterial SSU rRNA". It matches the Rfam family "Bacterial small subunit ribosomal RNA", at positions 84 to 743 of the family's 1533-position model. Lineage: Bacteria; Bacillati; Bacillota; Bacilli; Caryophanales; Bacillaceae. The record is from RNAcentral.